UAGAGGGUAGUAUAAUAGGAAAUACUUAGAGUUUUGAUCUCUAGGAUGUGGGUUCAAGUCCAGCUCUUCUAG
This 72-nucleotide transfer RNA is filed under the name Narke japonica (Japanese sleeper ray). Its description in RNAcentral is "tRNA-Gln". It matches the Rfam family "tRNA". From Rfam's summary of the family: Transfer RNA (tRNA) molecules are approximately 80 nucleotides in length. Their secondary structure includes four short double-helical elements and three loops (D, anti-codon, and T loops). Lineage: Eukaryota; Metazoa; Chordata; Chondrichthyes; Torpediniformes; Narkidae. The record is from RNAcentral.